Long non-coding RNA from Ochotona curzoniae (black-lipped pika), 408 nucleotides. RefSeq lists it as uncharacterized. The record is from RefSeq and is a predicted model, not a curated record. The transcript is spliced from 2 exons. Lineage: Eukaryota; Metazoa; Chordata; Mammalia; Lagomorpha; Ochotonidae.
AAGACGCGCCGCGGGCCCCGUGAGUGGACGUGACAGGGCUCAUGGACUCCGGCUAGCCCUCGUCCCACCCGCUGUCCACCUGCACCCCGCCGGGGGAGGGCCUCGCGGUGGGCGCCAUGGUGGACGUGGGCCCGGCGUGCACGAGGUGGAGUUGGUGCCGCCCCCAGAGUGCCUGGUCUUUGGGCGUCGCUGGAGGAGUCCACAGACCCAAAGGGACAUCUACAAGGGAUGCCUCUCUGCACGUGGAACCUGAAGUGGCACUCUGUCACGUACCACUCUCCUUCAUGCCCCCUUAGAGCCCAGGCUGAAGAGAAACGCACAGUCUUGCAAGAGAUGCAGCACAGACAUGUAGGAAAAGCAUAGGAUUUUCAAGCCAGAGUUGCCGGAGUCAGAAGGAUGGAAUGUGAA